CCUACGGGGGGCAGCAGUGAGGAAUAUUGGUCAAUGGGCGUAAGCCUGAACCAGCCAAGUCGCGUGCAGGAUGACGGCCCUACGGAUUGUAAACUGCUUUUAUACGGGAAUAACGCGCCUUACGUGUAGAGCUUUGCAUGUACCGUAUGAAUAAGGACCGGCUAAUUCCGUGCCAGCAGCCGCGGUAAUACGGAAGGUCCGGGCGUUGUCCGGAUUUAUUGGGUUUAAAGGGAGCGUAGGCGGCAUGUAAAGGGUGAUGUGAAAUGUCCGGGCGCAACCGGGGCCUUGCAGUGCGAACUGGGGUGGUUGAGUCCGCGUAGAGCAGGCGGAAUUCGUGGUGUAGCGGGGAAAUGCGUAGAUAUGACGAAGAACCCCGAUUGCGAAGGCAGCUUGCUGCAGCGGAACUGACGCUGAUGCUCGAAAGCGGGGGUAUCGAACAGGAUUAGAUACCCGUGUAGUC
RNAcentral lists this ribosomal RNA (460 nucleotides) under uncultured bacterium. RNAcentral's name for it is "partial 16S ribosomal RNA". It matches the Rfam family "Bacterial small subunit ribosomal RNA", at positions 338 to 795 of the family's 1533-position model. The record is from RNAcentral.